UACGUAGGGUCCAAGCGUUAUCCGGAAUCACUGGGCGUAAAGCGUGCGUAGGUGGAUUGUUAAGUGCGAUGCGAAAUCCUGGGGCUCAACCCCAUGGACUGUAUAGCAUACUGGCAAUCUAGAGGACAUGAGAGGCAAGUGGAAUUACCGGUGUAGCAGUGAAAUGCGUAGAUAUCGGUAGGAACACCAAUGGCGAAGGCAGCUUGCUGGCAUGUAUCUGACGCUAAGGCACGAAAGCGUGGGGAGCGAACAGG
Molecule: ribosomal RNA, 254 nt
Filed under: uncultured bacterium
Lineage: Bacteria
Description: partial 16S ribosomal RNA
Rfam family: Bacterial small subunit ribosomal RNA
Source: RNAcentral